RNAcentral lists this long non-coding RNA (5390 nucleotides) under Linum usitatissimum (flax). RNAcentral describes it as "long non-coding RNA (LUSI_LNC004702)". The record is from RNAcentral. Lineage: Eukaryota; Viridiplantae; Streptophyta; Magnoliopsida; Malpighiales; Linaceae.
AAAUAUUUAAAAUAACAUAAUCAUAUUCCCUGUAUUAAUCUAAACACUUAGAUAAGAGAUCCAAAAGCCCUAUUUGCUCUGAAUACGAAAGAAAUCCCUUGGCUCCAGAAUCGUACUCCUCCUACCCAACCAUAUCCAAACAUUUGCCAAGCUUAAACAGCUGCAAGUUAUAAUAUUCCACAGAGUUUUGACUCACCCGUCGCGAGUCUUUGAGAGUUAAUUCCCUUCUACCUACUACUUCUUGAAAGAUGAAAUGGAACCACAUCUUAUCAACUAGUUACUAUUAUUUUAAGAGACCAAAUCUAGACGAACAAUAGUGUAAUAUACUAUUUCAAAUGGUCAUUAAGAAUUUUGAAUUUUUACAAGUUGAUAUGUUCUGGUGACUCCCUCGAAUCUCCGCAUUGCUCCAAGAGUGUCAAGAACGAGAAUUUGAAGCAGCAGCACACAAAAAACAAGCAUAUGCCUUGACUCACCAUGGACACAGUACAGAAAAAUAUUACUCUUGUCAAAGGAUUGAGAUUAACUUUGAAUCACCAUGGACACAGUACGGAAAAAACAAGCAACACCAAAAUCUGCAGCCUUUUCCCUACAAACAGUAAAUCACAUUUCAUCGUUCAUUCUUAAGCUGUAGAGGUAAAGUUGAAGUUGGCACAAGUAGUUUGCCUGAACAGCAAUGAAGAGCUGAACCCAAGUGUUGAACUUGCAAGAUCAAACUGCAACAGGUUAUCUUCCAACUGAUGCCCUCCAAUGACAACAGAAGUCCUGGGAUUAACCCCACCAUCUACAAAACCAAGGCAAAUAACAUCUUUCUUCACUUGAACCAUAGAGUUUGCACCAAAUAUUCUCCAAACCACACUGCUGCUCUGCAACACCAGAUCGAUCGGAGGCACAGCAGGACCAACUCUAGUGCUUCCAACCGCAGUCGAGUCGAAACACAAAUCGAACGGUGCAACUGCUGCAACUCUAGGGACUUUAGAGAGCUGUCUAGCAAAAGCAUUAGUGAGAGCUUUGUGAAUGGAAGUCUCGAGUACGGUGUAGGGUUGAACAGUGCUGAUCUUUGUCCCACCAUUCCCUUCGUUGUCGAUUUUUAGCAAUGUUGCGUUCAAUGGAACGGUAUAAUCACCGCUGAUCUUGAUUGACUUAACUCCAAUGAAAUAGUCAGAGGAAGCAUCACCCUCAUAAGAACCAGAAGCUGUGCUAGCUUUGUUUAGGAUCAAGGGGGUGUAAAUAAGUGAGUUUGAGACAUCCAUUUUUGGCAUAAGGACAUAAGGACCAACUCCGAAAAAGACAACUCCUUUCGAAUUUACGGACGAGCUCAAACAAAUAGCAAACUUCCUGUGAAAACUGAAAGCAGCAGAGAAUUGGGAUGGUAGUGAGAUUUUAGUCCUCCCAAGUCCAGCCAUACCUUUAACACCCUUAGAAAGUCCCUCUAGUAAGAAUGUGGCACCACAAGUGAAGAGUAGGUUUGGAACUUUGGCAAGUCGUCCGGGAUUCGAUCCAUCAGUUGAUUGAAUGGACACAACAUCCUGGCCGAACUCUCCAGAGGUACCGGUCCGAGUCACUGUGUUUUCAGGCAUAAGGGCACAUGUAUUGUUGCUGCACCCUGGUUUGAGACUUGAGUAGCAUUCAGUGAUGCAGCUCUGUGAGUUUGCGAGAUUGCACGGAGCCGAUCUACAACGAUUAGGCUUGUAGGAUGAAGAGACAUAGGCUUGUUCACAGUCAACCCACAUGUACUGCCCACCAAGGUCAACAGUUAGCUUGACUGGGACAAGAGGGGUUCUUUGGUUGAUUUGGGCAAUAUAUUGGAGAGUUGAUGGGUCUUUAGAAACUGGAAGGACAAGUGCUUUAGGCAUGAAUGAUGAUUUUGCUUCAGAUGUUGUGGUGGAGAUAAAGAGAAGACAUGAAAAAAGAAGGUAGAUGCAGCUACAAGGAAGAGCCAUGGUUUGGUUUGCUUUGCUUUGGUGAUGUGCAAAUUAAGAUGAGUUUGUGAGUAAUCCUAAUGCCUACUCAAUGCAUUAUUUAUAUUGGUGUCUUUCUGUAUGAAAACGCGGCCAUGUUAUAGACAGACAGCUAUGAAGGAAUUAUUAUAUCCAAGUGUGAUUAAACAUUGACCAAGAGGAGACUACCUUAACAUAAAAUACGUUAUCUUUAACCAAAUGGGUCAUAUUUAAUUCAGCAUGUUUUGGAAUUAAGUGUCAAUUGGGAAAAAGGUGUUUGAAUUAAUAUUCAAUAUGAGAAAUGAAAAUGAAAACGCAUAUUCAUGAAAAAGAAAAACUUUGAAAACGCAGAGCUAGUACCCAUAGAAUCAGACGGUAUGGGUUCGGAACUCCAUAUGUGGGCAGUUGGGUUCACCGCCAUGCUCCUGCUUAUGGCCAUUUUGUUGGUAGUUGAGAACGCUGGGGAGAAGCUCUCUGCUUUGGAAUCUCCAGCUUCGCCGUUCCUGUUUGGAAUCUCCAGUGGCCUAAACUUCUUCCUCCCGACGACGAGGAUAGAGCCGAUUCAGAAACUCUUCUUUUUGCUUUAUUUGUCAAUGGGCCUCAGAGCUUUAGGGCUUCUCCAUGAUUAGAGGAAUUUUCAGGGCCUUAAUCAUGGAGACGCCCAUUAACAUUCUUCAGUUGCUAAAUCUAUUACAUUAACUUCCUCAUCGUCCACUUCAGCUUCUUGGUUCAGAUCAAAGGCAGGAACUUCUUCAUCAUCGUCGUCAAUAUUAACCAUACACAUCAGCGUCCUGCAGGGACACGAAUACCGAUGAAUGUGGAGAUCACGUGAAAUGGUGAGAUUCUGUGUGGAAUUCUAUAAAUAUUGCAGGUAAAACAUAGGGUACUGAGGUGGCCGGCUCUUACACAAGUCAUUCCACUAAUUUGCCUAUCUUACUGCCAGCACAUUACUAUCCACUCUCCAGUUUCCAAUACCUGGGAAAAUGCUGGCUUUACCCUUAUAAAAAUGCAGCAGCUCUUGGAUUUUUUUCACCAAUUUCAAUUCCAAAUGAAGCGGUGACCGACGGUUUAAAUAACACAUUGAAUAGGCAUUAGGAUUACUCAUAACUCAAUAGCUCAUCCUUGCACGUCACCAAACUAAACCAUGGAUCUUCCUUGUAGUUGUAGCAGCUGCAGCAUCUACCUUCUCUUUUCAUUUCUUCUCUUUAUCUCCAUCACAACAUCUGAAGCACAAUCAUCAUUUAAGCCGAAAGCACUUGUCCUUCCAGUUUCCAAAGACCAAACAACUCUCCAAUACACUGCCCAAAUCAACCAAAGAACUCCUUUCGUCCCAGUUAAGCUAACUGUUGAUCUUGGUGGGCGGUACCUCUGGGUUGACUGUGAACAAGGCUAUGUCUCUUCAUCCUACAAGCCUAUUCGUUGCGAAUCGGCUCAAUGCAAACUCGCAAACUCAAAGAGCUGCACCACGGAAUGCUACUCGAAACCCAAACCAGGCUGCAACAAUAACACCUGUGGCCUUUUUCCUGAUAAUCCAAUGACACAGUACGUUUCCUCUGGCGACCUCGGCCAGGAUGUUGUGGCCAUUCAAUCAACUGAUGGAUCGAAUCCCGGAAUAGUCGCCAAAGUUCCAAACUUUCUCUUCAGCUGCGGAGCCACAUACUUGCUAAAGGGACUUGCUAAAGGUGUUGAAGGUAUGGCUGGACUUGGGAGGACUAAAAUCUCAAUCCCAUCUCAAUUCUCUGCUGCUUUCAAAUUUGACAGGAAGUUUGCUGUUUGUUUGAGCUCAUCAACAAACUCCAGAGGGGUUGUCUUCUUUGGAAACGGUCCUUAUGUUCUUCUGCCAAAUAUUGAUGUCUCUGAGUCACUCAUUUCCACCCCCUUGAUUUUGAACAAAGUUAGUACUUACUCCGAGAGUGAACCUUCCUCUGACUAUUUCAUUGGAGUUAAGUCAAUCAAGAUCAAUGGGGAUGUUACUGUUCCAGUGAACACAACACUGUUGAAAAUCAACAAAGAAGGGUUUGGUGGGACAAAAAUCAGCACUAUUCAUCCCUACACUGUACUUGAAUCUUCCAUUCACAAAGCUCUCAUUGAUGCUUUCGCUAGACAGCUUUCUAAAGUCCCUAGAGUUGCACCCGUUGCACCUUUCGAUUUGUGUUUCGACUCGACCGGGAUUGGAAGCACUCGAGUUGGUCCUGCAGUGCCUCAGAUCGAUCUGGUGUUGCAGAGCAGCAGUGUGAUUUGGAGUAUAUUUGGUGCCAACUCUAUGGUUCAAGUGAAAAAAGAUGUUCUUUGCCUUGGUUUCAUAGACGGUGGGGUUAAUCCUAGGACUUCUAUUGUCAUUGGAGGGCAUCAGUUGGAGGAUAACCUGCUGCAGUUUGAUGUUGCUAAUUCAAGACUUGGGUUCAGCUCUUCAUUGCUGUCCAGGCAAACUACUUGUGCAAACUUCAACUUUACCUCUGAGUUUAACAAAGAAUGGGGGGCUUAUGCAAUGUGAUCAUCUACUGCUGUGGCGGGAAAGAUUCCAGUUUAGGGGUUUUGGCUGUUUUUUAGUACUCUUGUCCAACGGUAGACGAUGGAGGUUCAAUGUUAACCUCUAUCCUUUGUUUAAUUACUUUUUAAUAAGGUCACUUGCUGUGUUUCAAUCCUUUGUUAAAUUCGUACUUAGACCAAAAUCAUGGCUAAUUGAGUUGAAUGUUUUCCUGCGUUUAAGCCAAAUCAUAAACAAAACUCUUAACCUUGUCGUCUGUCAUAUUUAAAGAUGAAAAAGGCACAACACUGGUUCCACUAUUCAUUACGGGGUAACGUUCCUCUCUGCUUUCCGCGUCUGACACGUUGUUCUUCCGGUUUAGUUUGAUUUGGGUUUUCUGGGAUCUAAUUGUAAGUGUUCUUGGUUAGCAUCAAGGGUUUUCAGUUAUGUAUUCUUAAUUGCAGUUUUGUACAUGUACUGACCAUUGAUAUUCUAUAUGCUUUUGUUUAAUAUGGCCACAAAUUCUGAAGAUGAAUCUACUUCUUACAUGCUUACUUUCAAGUGUCAAACUGAAAGGAAGUUGCAAUUUCUUCUGACAUAAAAAUGCAGUCUAAUUAGAGGGGUGAGACACGAGCCUACAACAACAGUUCAUAUUCUUCGACAAGGCUAGAUGUGGGUGUACAUCAGCAGUCAGCUGUAAGGGAAGUUUUCUCACACUGCUGUUGUUACUGAUUCUGAUAUUAUUAUUACUGAUUCUGCUGUUGUUUCAGUUUUUUUCAAGUUGAUUUAUUCUCAAAUAUUGUGGUUGUGCAGACGUAAUGUGCCAGAGAUUAACAUUGAACCUCUAUCCUGAACAGUUGGACACACUACUAAAAACCAAUCAAAACCCAAAUCUGGAAUAUUUUUCCCCACAAAACAGUAAAUCACAUUGCAUAAUCCCCCCACUUUCUUUCUUAAGCUGUAGGGGUAAGGUUGAAGUUGGCACA